RNAcentral lists this ribosomal RNA (492 nucleotides) under uncultured bacterium. Its description in RNAcentral is "partial 16S ribosomal RNA". It matches the Rfam family "Bacterial small subunit ribosomal RNA", at positions 29 to 507 of the family's 1533-position model. The record is from RNAcentral.
AGUGAACGCUGGCGGUAGGCCUAACACAUGCAAGUCGAACGGCAGCACAGUAAGAGCUUGCUCUUACGGGUGGCGAGUGGCGGACGGGUGAGGAAUACAUCGGAAUCUACUUUUUCGUGGGGGAUAACGUAGGGAAACUUACGCUAAUACCGCAUACGACCUACGGGUGAAAGCAGGGGAUCUUCGGACCUUGCGCGAUUGAAUGAGCCGAUGUCGGAUUAGCUAGUUGGCGGGGUAAAGGCCCACCAAGGCGACGAUCCGUAGCUGGUCUGAGAGGAUGAUCAGCGACACGGGAACUGAGACACGGUCCAGACGCCUACGGGAGGCAGCAGUGGGGAAUAUUGGACAAUGGGCGCAAGCCUGAUCCAGCCAUACCGCGUGGGUGAAGAAGGCCUUCGGGUUGUAAAGCCCUUUUGUUGGGAAAGAAAAGCAGCAGGUUAAUACCCCGCUGUUCUGACGGUACCCAAAGAAUAAGCACCGGCUAACUUCGUG